GGGCCCUUAGCUCAGUGGUUAGAGCGCUCGGCUCAUAACCGAGUGGUCGCUGGUUCGAAUCCUGCAGGGCCCA
RNAcentral lists this transfer RNA (73 nucleotides) under Natronomonas sp. RNAcentral describes it as "tRNA-Ile". It matches the Rfam family "tRNA". Rfam says of the family: Transfer RNA (tRNA) molecules are approximately 80 nucleotides in length. RNAcentral also lists the same sequence under 1 other name. Lineage: Archaea; Methanobacteriati; Methanobacteriota; Halobacteria; Halobacteriales; Natronomonadaceae. The record is from RNAcentral.